CCUUGUCCUUCUCUUUGCUCCGCCACAAGAUGUCUCCCUUUCCCCCCUUCUUUUCCGGCUUUUAAGUUUUCAACACCAACCGCCCUGUCCGAGUUAUGACCUCCCCCCCUUAAAGGUGUAUUUACAGCAUCCUUUUUCCCUGUAAUGCACCCAAAGAGGCAGCAACCGCCCACAGAAUAAUAGCAC
Long non-coding RNA from Polypterus senegalus (gray bichir), 186 nucleotides. RefSeq lists it as uncharacterized. The transcript is spliced from 3 exons. Lineage: Eukaryota; Metazoa; Chordata; Cladistia; Polypteriformes; Polypteridae. The record is from RefSeq and is a predicted model, not a curated record.